This 7221-nucleotide long non-coding RNA is filed under the name Ficedula albicollis (Collared flycatcher). Its description in RNAcentral is "lncRNA (ENSFALG00000011947.2)". The record is from RNAcentral. Lineage: Eukaryota; Metazoa; Chordata; Aves; Passeriformes; Muscicapidae.
GUGCACAAGACAAGAAACCAUGGCCACUAUGUCUGCAGCACUUGGGGAAACAACCACUUCAAAACUUUUGAUGGCGACGUCUACCAAUUCCCUGGCGUUUGCGAGUAUAAUUUUGUUUCCGACUGCCGAGAUGCUUACAAGGAAUUCUCUGUCCACAUCCAGCGUGCUCUCAACAGCAAUGGCCAUCCUGAGAUCCAGUAUAUUCUGAUGAAAAUCAAGGAUAUAACCGUCUACCUCAAACCAAACCUGGUUGUGGUGGAUGGGCGGAUUGUGAAGACACCUUACUACUCCUCUGGUGUCUUCAUUGAGGCCAGUGAAAUUUACACCAAGAUUUAUGCCAAAUUAGGCAUGGUUCUGAUGUGGAACCAGCAGGAUGCCCUGAUGGUGGAGCUGGACAACAAAUUUAAUAACCAUACCUGUGGUCUCUGUGGGGAUUACAAUGGAAUUCAAAUCUACAAUGAGUUCAUCAAAGGAGGUGACUACAACUCAAUUACAUUUGGGAACAUGCAGAAGAUCAGCAAACCCACUGCCAAAUGUGAAGAUCCAGAUGAAACCCAGGCUCUUCCAAGCUGUAAUGAGCAUCGUGAUGAGUGUCACAGGUUGCUGACUUCCCCUGCAUUUGCUGAUUGUCGGCUACGGCUUAAUUUGGAAAUGUACAUCCAAGCCUGCAUGCAGGACAAGUGUGCCUGUAAUGGGAAGACAGACUCCUUCUGCCUCUGCAGCACCAUCUCUGAGUAUUCCCGCCAGUGUUCGCACGCAGGGGGCCGCCCAAGAGAAUGGAGGACAGAGAGCUUCUGCCCCAAGAGCUGUCCUGCUACCAUGGUCUACAGAGAAAGCAGCUCACCCUGCAUGGAUACUUGCUCACACUUGGACAUCAGCAGCCUUUGUGAGGAGCACUACAUGGAUGGCUGUUUCUGCCCUGAAGGAACUGUGUAUGAUGAUAUCAGUGAAAAAGGCUGCAUCCCUGUUAGCCAGUGCCACUGCAAACUUGGUGGAAAGACCUAUGCACCUGGAGAAAGGAUUUCCAAAGAAUGUGAAGAAUGCACCUGUAAUUCAGGCAGAUGGACCUGCAAAGACCUAGACUGUCCAGGCACAUGCUCAGUGGAAGGAGGUUCCCAUAUUUCCACCUUUGAUGGGAAGAAAUACACCUUCCAUGGAGACUGCUACUAUGUGUUGGCCAAGGGUACUGAAAAUGAGAAUUAUGCUCUCCUGGCAGAGCUGGCUCCCUGUGGCUCCACAGACAAACAGACCUGCUUGAAGACUGUUGUGCUGUUAGCAGAUAACAAAAAGAAUGUAAGUGGUCCUGUGUGUGUAUGUUUACUACAACAGUUCAUGUUUUGUUUUUCAGCCAGCUUCUCAGUAUUCAAGCCGUCUUCCAACUACUUUGUUGUACAAACUUCUUUUGGGCUUCAGAUGCAGAUCCAGCUGUUUCGAGUCAUGCAGCUGUUUGUGACUGUGGAUCAAUCAGUUAAAGGAAAACUUCAAGGUCUUUGUGGAAACUUCAAUGGAGUGGAAGGUGAUGACUUUAGAACAACCAGCGGGCUGAUUGAGGCUACAGGAUCUGCCUUUGCUAACACAUGGAAAGCUCAGUCCACCUGCUCAGACCAGGCAGAAAAGCUGGAAGACCCCUGCAGUCUCAGCAUUGAAAGUGCAAAUUAUGCUGAGCAUUGGUGUUCUUUGCUGAGAAACCCAAAGGGUCCUUUUGCAAGAUGUCACUCAGCCAUUGAUCCUUCAGAAUACUAUAAGAAAUGUAAAUAUGACACCUGCCUCUGUGAAGACAAUGAAGAAUGUUUGUGUGCUGCCCUGUCCUCUUACUCAAGAGCCUGUGCUUUCAAAGGGAUCAUACUGGGAAACUGGAGAAACAGUGUCUGCAGUAAGUACGAAGCAUCUUCUUGCUCAGGAAAUCAAGUCUUCCUUUACAAUCUUACAAUGUGCCAGCAAACCUGUCGUUCCCUUGCUGAUGGUGAAAAGUAUUGCUUGCAAGACUUUGCUCCUGUGGAUGGCUGUGGCUGCCCAUCCAAUACAUACUUGGAUAACCAGGAUAACUGUGUGCCCAUCUCCCAGUGCCCAUGUUAUUACAAGGGCUCAUACCUGGAACCUGGGGAAUAUUUCACAAAAGAUGGAGAACGCUGGUAUGUUUUAUUUUGGUGUAAGGUGCUUAGGUUUUUUGGUACUUUAAUGAGUCGUUGUAAUGCAUUUCACAACAUCUUCAUGCUGAGCAAAGUAUUAUCCUGUUGCAAUGCAGAGUGUGUCUCAGGCUGUGUGUGUCCUGAAGGUCUAUUUGAUGAUGGCAGAGGGGGCUGUGUUGAGCAAAAAGAUUGCCCAUGCAUUCAUAACAAUGAGUUGUAUUCUUCUGGACACAAGAUAAAAGUGGACUGCAACACUUGCACCUGCCAGAAAGGGCUUUGGAAAUGCACUGAUGACGUGUGCUAUGGGACUUGCACAAUAUAUGGAAGUGGCCAUUAUAACACUUUUGAUGGGAAAUUCUAUGACUUUGAUGGGAGCUGUGAAUAUGUGGCUGCUCAGGACUUCUGUGGCGACAAAAAUUCCAGUGGCUCAUUCAGUAUCAUCACAGAGAAUGUCCCUUGUGGAACUACAGGAGUCACCUGCUCAAAGGCUAUCAAAAUGUUCCUAGGGAAAACUGAACUGAAAUUGGAGAACAAAGAGUACAAAGAAAUUCAGCGAGAUGUUGGUGAUGAUGUGCAGUAUUGGAACAGGACAGUCGGGCUGUACUUGGUUAUUGAGGCUAGCAAUGGUGUGAUGCUGAUCUGGGACAAGAAGACCACUGUUUUCAUCAAGCUGAGCCCUGAUUACAAAGGCAAAGUGUGUGGUCUGUGUGGCAACUUUGAUGACAAGGCAAACAACGAUUUUACAACAAGGAGUGGACUGCAGGACUCUAAUCCUCUGAUUUUUGGAAAUUCCUGGAAACAAUCUCCCAUGUGCCCAGAUGUCACAAAAGAGAUUAAGCCCUGUGAUCUGAAACCACACCGGAAAUCCUGGGCAGAGAAAGAAUGCAGCAUCAUCCAGAGCGAAGUCUUCGAAAUUUGUCACUCCAAGGUGAACCCACUUCCUUUCUAUGAAGCUUGUGUUCAUGAUGCCUGCUCUUGUGACAGUGGUGGAGAUUGCGAGUGCUUCUGCUCUGCAGUUGCAGCGUACGCCCAAGAGUGCAUCAAGGCUGAGGCCUGUGUUUUCUGGAGAACUCCUGAUAUCUGCCCCAUAUUCUGUGACUACUACAACCCUCGCAAUGAGUGUGACUGGCACUACGAGCCUUGUGGCAGUAAUAUCACAACCUGCAGGAUGAUCAAUAACGUCAGCACCAACUUUACAAUACCACUACUGGAAGGCUGCUACCCCAGAUGCCCUAAGGACAAGCCUAUUUAUAAUGAAGAGACAAAGGAAUGUGUGACUGAAGACAAAUGUGGAUGUUACCUCGAGGAUGGAACCCAUGUACCCCCUGGGCAAGAAGUAGUCACAGAAGACAACUGUACAAUAUGGUAUAUAAAAAUUACUUGCAGUAAUUCAGGAAAUAAUUUGUGUAUGCGGAUUAUCGGAAAAGUACAGGAUGGCGACAUAUGUAUAAUAUACAUUUGUGCAGAAGAUGGUACUACAAAUAUUACGAUCGUGCCUUGUCCAACAACUUCACCUACAACCAUUUCAACCUCCUUCCCUUCCAGCACUCUUACCACCACCACCACCACAGCUCCUUGCUUUGGACUGAUCUGUGAGUGGACUGAGUGGUUUGAUGUUAGCAAACCUGAAGAAGGUGAUGGUGACUAUGAAACAUACGAGGAAAUAAGAAACCAUGGAAACAAAAUAUGUAGAGCUCCUGAAAAAAUUGAAUGCAGGGCUAAGGAUAAACCUGAUGUGAGCUUAGAAGAACUUGGUCAGAAAGUCCAGUGUAAUGUUACAUAUGGGCUAAUCUGUAAAAAUGAUGAGCAAGAUGUAACUAUGUGGCAACUUUGCUAUAAUUAUGAAAUCAGAGUAAACUGUUGUGAGUGGCAAGAAAUACCUUGUGAGCCUACAACUACACCUACUACACCACAAACUACAACUUCAACCACCAUCAAGACAAUACCCACCACCACUACAAUCAGGACUUCAACCACACCUAUAGCCGAGCCUACCACAAGUGAGUAUAUACCACCAGUCUUCACUCCAUCAACAUCACCAGUGUCAACAAGCCCAGUGACAGCUACCACCUCUGAAGUCACUGAAACAACACCAACCACCAAGACCACCACUUCAGGUCCCACACCCUCAAGAUCCACCAGCACCACACCAGUAACAGAAACACCUUAUCAUGAGACCACUACCAUCAGGACCCCAAGCCCCCAAUCUACCACCACUUCCAGCCCUGGCACCACCACAACCUCGGGACCAAGCAGCACUACAGUAACACCACCACCAAUAACAACAACCACCAAGACCACCACUUCAGGCCCCACACCCUCAGUGUCCACUCCCCCCACCACCACAGGAGGAACCGAAAUAAGUACCCCAGGGACAACCUCUGCAACUGUUACUACUCCAACAACAUCACCUGCAUCAACCAGCCCUGUGUCAACCACCACCUCUGGUACUACUCCAACAGAAAGCUUUACCACCACUUCAGGAACCACCUCCGUCAAUGUAACCACCACCUCCACCACAUUCACAACCCUUCCCCCUAGCUCAACUACUACAUCUGGGCCAACUGCAACAUCAACUGCAGUCACCACUACAGGAAGUUCUACGCACAGUGCAACUCCUCCAGUUAAUGGCUCAAGUUCAACUACAAGUCUAACACCAACCACUCCUAAAAAGACUUGUACUAUUUUCCCUAAUGAAUCUUAUGAGGUGAGUAGAUUUCAUGCUUUCAUUGUGCUUUGGAUGGUGACUAGACAUAUCACUUCAAUAAACCUGCAGAAGAUAUUCAGGCAUAACUGUGGUCAGUCUCACUACUUCCUAAGGUUUGUCUCUGUCUCCUCCCUCCUCUCUUUUCAAACACAGCAAGGUGACUCAUGGUGGCUCUGUAACUGCACUAAGGCAAUAUGUAUAGAAGACAACAUUGUCCAGGUGAUUCCAGUAAUCUGCAAUCCACCUCCGAAACCCACAUGUGCCAAUGGACUGUCUCCUGUGCCAGUCAUUGAUGAGGAUGGAUGCUGUUGGCACUGGGAGUGUGAUUGCUACUGCACUGGCUGGGGAGAUCCACAUUACAUGACUUUUGAUGGAUUGUACUACAGCUUUCAAGGAAAUUGUACAUAUGUCCUUGUGGAAGAGAUCAUUAAGAACGUUGACACCUUUGGUGUCUACAUUGAUAACUACCAUUGUGAUACACGGGAUGUAGUGUCCUGUCCUCGAACGCUCAUUGUGAGACACGAGACUCAGGAAAUCAGGCUAAGAACAGCAGAACCAAAUACUCUACAAGUAGAGGUGACAGUAAACAACCAGCUCGUGGCUUUACCUUAUAAAAAGUUUGGCGUGAGCAUCUAUGAGUCAGGCAUAAAUCGUGUUGUGGAAAUUCCUGAGCUGAAAAUGAAUGUGACCUACAAUGGCUUGUCCUUUUCUAUCAGAAUGCCCUACAGCCUGUUUGGCAACAACACCCAGGGACAGUGUGGUACUUGCAAUAACAACACAGCAGAUGACUGCAUGCUGCCAGAUGGAAAAAUUAUAGAUAACUGUGAAAUCAUGGCAGAUCAUUGGCAAGUUAAUGAUCCUUCCAAACCACAGUGCUCUCCAAGCCUAGUUCCUACAGGUUCACCAAGCACAACACCAACACAGCCUUGCAAAGAAUCUUCCAUCUGCGAGCUUCUUUUGGGAAGUGUGUUCAAGCCAUGCCAUUCCUUUGUCCAGCCUGAAAAGUACUAUGCAGCCUGUGUUUUUGAUAGCUGUGUACUUCCCAACCUAGACCUGGAAUGCUCAAGUCUGCAGAUCUAUGCUGCCACCUGUGCUGAUCAAGGCGUGUGCAUUGACUGGAGAAAACACACCAAUGGUGUCUGCUCUCAUGAAUGUCCUCCUGGUAAAGAAUACAGAGCAUGUGGUCCUAUUAAAGAGAUGACCUGCAAAUCAAGAGGACAGAAUGACACAUCAACUAAACAAGUGGAAGGCUGUUUCUGUCCUAAUGGAACCAUGCUGUAUGACUCUGGUGUGGAUGUCUGCGUGAAAACUUGUGGCUGUGUUGGAGUGGAUAUGAUACCAAGAGAGUUUGGAGAAAAGUUUACAGUGGACUGUCAGGACUGCAUUUGCCUGGAAGGUGAACAUGGCAUUGUAUGUCAACCUCAUGUAUGUGAUCAGAAGAAGGUCACUUGUGAUGGAGAAGGCUUCUAUGAAGUCACCGAAGUCAAUCCUAAAGACCCCUGCUGCCCUCUUUUCACUUGCAAAUGCAAUACAAGCUUGUGCACAGCCAAAGCCCCCAAGUGCUCACUGGGAUUCGAAGUUCAUUCUCAUAUUCCCAGUGGUCAGUGCUGUCCUGUAUACCAAUGUGGUAAGUCCCUUGGAAAUAUGAUGAGCCUUAUACCCAACUCCUCAGUCUUUGUUGACAAGUGUCAGAAUUGUGUGUGCACAAACGAUGUUAACGUCAGCACUCAACUGAACAUCAUCUCCUGUCAACAUGUCCCCUGCAGCACAUACUGUGAACCAGGAUAUGAACUUAAACCAGUGAAAGGUGAAUGCUGUGGAAAAUGUGUGCAGACCAAGUGUAUUAUACACACAGCAGACAAUUCUGAACUCAUCUUGAGUCCUGGAGACUUUAAAAAUGAUCCUCACAACAACUGCACCAUUUAUAGCUGUGUGGAUGUCCACAACCAGCUUAUCGCUUCCACAUCUGAGAUUACCUGUCCAGCAUUCAAUGAGGAGAGCUGCAAACCUGGAACUAUUUCUUUCUUACCUAACGGUUGUUGCAAAACCUGUAACUUAGCACUUCCAUUAGUCACAACUGUGGCUCUUCUCACAGGAGUGCUGUACCUGAUUUCACCCUCUCCUAUAUGUUGGCUUCUGGCACAGAGUAACAUUGCCAUUUUGCAUGUUAACAGAUACUCUGCUGAGGCUAAUUCUAUGGACCACAGCUGCUCCUGCUGCAGAGAAACAAGGACCACUGAGAAGCAUGUGGUUCUGAAAUGCCCCGGUGGGCACUCAGUGUCACACAAGUACAUCUAUGUGGAGAGCUGCAGCUGUCAAGACACUGCAUGCACUAGUAAUCCUAGACAUCCUCUGCAGGAAAUGGAAAGCAAUAGCCAUUUUUGA